CGCCACAGCGUGGAGCCGCCGCAACGGUCGCUCCACGCGCCCCGCCCCGCGCGUGGCGCCUCGCCUCGCCUCACCUCACGGCACCUCGGCCGUUUUGUCUUCUAAAUACAUUUUUUUGAGGGGGGCGGAGGGAGAAAAUUGCAAAAGUAGCGGGAAGGAUGCAAAAGCAGGAGAGCGCGGUUUGGGGAGCGUGCAGAGAAGCAGUUCCCCCUGGCUGAAAUACUUCGGUUUGGCACCGCCCUCCCGCAGGCUGCGCGGAGAUGCGGAAGGGACAACGGCUCCAGCCUUUGUUUUAGGUGUAAAACAGCAGAGCACCCCCAGCUUGGCCUCGGGCGUCAGUCCUCCUCCAUCUGCCCGACAGGACCCGUUACUCAGAGGUGCAUAGAAAGACAAAUGCUUACGUUUAGACACCCACAUCCCAGGCAGAGCUCAGAGCCGGCAGCUCCUGAAGGGCAACACGAAGCCCCAGCAGCACGCCCUGCUGACUGCUGCCCGCGCGGCUCCUGUGAGCAAGGACCUCUGCUGAAGGAACCACCAUCUGCCCCCUCCGUUUUUAUUAUUUCAUUUCUUUUCAAAGGUUUUUAAUGAAUGUGGGAGAGACAGGUUUGGAACAGCGUUGGGGUGAUGGCAGAGGAAGUUCUCUGAAGUAAUCUGGGGGCAGUGCCAAGAGCCAUUCCAGUUCUCAGAAAAAUAACCAGUCACUGCUUAUGUGCUGGGAGCUGAAAGAUUGAUCAUUUUUGCUGCCAACAUUUACAGUCAGUCCUGACCGUGACAGUAGAUCAAAUACAUGUACUUUUCUGGACAGCUGACCUGGUUUGAACUCAAUGAGUGUUAAAUCUCAACGAUGACUACGUUUAUUUAAUAAAUACUUUGCUAUAUUUUUUAAAGCAACCAUAACCUCACCAAGCACCAAGCAGCCUCUUAGGACUGUUUCAAACACCUGGUGCCCUUGGUGCCUUGGGUAAUUGCUCAGACCCCGCAGGUGUGACUAGCUGGUGAAAUGAGAUGACACAGCUGGACUGAGACAAGCCACAAAAAAGUUGCUGGCUUGUUCUGCAGUUGGACAUUGAUUUGAACAAGAGUAACUUCCAGCUGGUGCCAGUGGGAGAAACAAUUUGAUCCUUUCUCUGUGCUCGGCUCUUAUUCCUUUCUCACUUUUGGCUUGUGUGCAGCAGGAAGGCAGUUAGAAAUAGCUGUUCUUACAUGCUUAGACUGUUUGAUUUUGGAACUUGGUGCUGGUUUUACUGGAGAUAGAAGAGCACCCACAAGCAGAGAAUGAAACAUCCCAUCCCCAGGCAGAGCUGUAACGGGAGAAAGGAGUGAAAGGAAGCCUGACCUGCUGGAAAACUGGGACAAGUCCUGCAGACAACAAUCAACCUUCCAAACAAAGGCAUUAGAAGUCAUGCUAUGCCUUUUUGUGAAAGAAUCGUCAUAACAGCACACAUUUUAAAAGAACAGCAAGCAGUGCAGGAGUGCUCUUUACUAACCUGUAUGCAGUUUAUCCUGAAGGACUGGAUCCAUUAAGGCUUGCAGAACACUGAAACUUGCUCUUGCUGCACUGUAUGCUGACGCAUAACGCAGAGAGGCAUACGCUGCUAUCUGAUAUUGCACGUGCGUUCUUCUUCAAAAUCUGGAACGGGACGGCUUCAGUUCUCAAAGAGAAACAAAGUUCACCACAGCUAUGGAAGCACUGGCAAGUGAAGCAGGCACAGACCAGCCAUGAGGUAAUCACAGCUGGAUGUAGACACCACGUGAUGAAUAACAAGGAUGUCUACCAGAACUCAGAAUUCAGAUGGGUGACCUGAGAACAGGACAAAGAAAACGUACUGAUACUUGGCUGACUGCACUAAAUAGAACAAUAAAGAUAAGGCCAAAUUAGAAACUUGUACAGGGUGAAAAAAAUGGAAGAUUUUGCCCAUGUACCCUCCCUCAUGCCUCAGGAUAGUUCUCCUGGAACAAAAGAUGCACACUGUGUCAUCAAAGGUAUGUCACUAAAAGAGCAAGGAGGAGAGCAGAGAAUUUAGGGAGAAACCUCACUUUACUGGGCAGUUAUCAAACCUGUAAGUAGUGCAGAAAUAUUAUUCCUGCUCUUCACUAAGUUAAGUACAAUUAUAGGACAGGAAAUGUGGAGAACAGCAGAUGAGACUAAUAGUAGCAGAUAUUACAGCACAAGCAUUGAGUUGAAUCUGAAGAGAGUUAUUUCCCUAAUGAAUAAAUAGUGCAGACCAAAACAUUUUGGUUUUAAUAUUUUCUGAUGACAAAAUUACUUAAAGAAAUGAAGAGAUUCACAGACUGUAGUAAGAAUGGAUCAAAAUUUACUGUUCACUACUAUUCAAUUACCUCCUAGGGACUGAUAUUUAAUAUUACAAUUCUCCAAAAUGAUGAAGUUUUUGAAGAAAUAGUAAUUAUCUAUUAAAA
Tympanuchus pallidicinctus (lesser prairie-chicken) is the source of this 2418-nucleotide long non-coding RNA. RefSeq lists it as uncharacterized. The transcript is spliced from 5 exons. The record is from RefSeq and is a predicted model, not a curated record. Lineage: Eukaryota; Metazoa; Chordata; Aves; Galliformes; Phasianidae.